Non-coding RNA from Cinara cedri, 232 nucleotides. Lineage: Eukaryota; Metazoa; Arthropoda; Insecta; Hemiptera; Aphididae. The record is from the annotation of a GenBank genome assembly.
AGUACACUUGAAAAUCGAAUCAAGAUUUCUUAUAUAAAAGUUGUUUACACAUUGCUAACAAAAGCUCACAUCGUAUUAUUAUAGUAAUGUAUUACACUCAGAUUCUAAAAACUACGAAAAAUGGAUAUGAAAAAUUAAAAACAAUAAGCAUUAUUGCCUAUCAGUGAGAAUCAUAAAAGUAUAAGUCAAAUUUGAAUUCAAAGUAGAUGUAUUGUAGCGGUUUUCGAUCUUU